This 8589-nucleotide long non-coding RNA is filed under the name Lynx pardinus (Iberian lynx). The record is from RNAcentral. Lineage: Eukaryota; Metazoa; Chordata; Mammalia; Carnivora; Felidae.
CACGAAUGGAAAGCAAGGCUCUUGACUCUCGAUACAUGGUUUCCACUGUGUGCGCAGCUACCACUGCUGGGACAGAAUGCCUUCACUUCCCUCCAAGUAGGGCUACUCUGUGCUGACUGGCCUCCUACUAGGACUUGUGGUGAGUCCCGACGUGCACCAACAGUGAAUACAUCCAAGUGGGAUGCAUUUGGAUCCUGGGGGGAUGGGGGAUGUUGGGAGUCAGAGGAUUUGGCGGGGAGGCCGGCAGAGUGGGGAAGACUGGAUGGCGGUUGUAGACAGUAUCAGACAGAGCCGGGGAGAUUUACCACAGAGAUCCAGGAAUGCAGGCUGAGGAGCUGGGACCAGACUGCCCAGGCAGGAUAGGGAGACAGAUUAGCAUAAGGCAGAGUCAAAUUAUCUGGGCUCCCAUCCUUGGUUUUAUGACCUUGUCUUCUCACCCAUGAAAUAGGUACGAUAACAGUAUUCUUCCAAAGGAGGAUCUAAUGAAAAACUAUAUGGUAUGGCAUGAUGCUUCGUACAUAGGAGACUCAAUAAACGUGUAUCCUGAUUAUUAUUACUAUAGAAUAUUAUAUGAAUAUUAUUAUAUUUAUGAGGAGUAGUGUCUCCCUGCACAGAGGAUAAGUGCAACAAAAUCAGUAUCAUCUCUUAGACAGAGACCUUUCAUGUGACGCUGCUCAAUGUUUCCUAAGAGAAAAGUUGGUAUAAUCCUUAGAAAGAAAUGGUGUAAAAUGCAAAGCUCCGAAGAUCCGAUAAGUGACCCGAAUGUGGACUAGCUUCCCCCUACGUGGAAGGACAGCUUAGGAAUGCUCGGUGAUGAGAAGGGACUGACCCACAGUAAGGAAGGUGGGACAAGGUGUCGGUGACCGAACGGAGCUUCCGCAGGUGGCUGUACAGAGCCAGCGUGGACGCCAUUGCACGGGGGUCUUGGAAGGGACACGUGUGCCAAGCAAGAAAGACACACAUUCACGAGGAUUUGGGGCAAAUAAUCAAGUAGAUUCGUGGAUUAGAAAAUGAAACAUAAAACGGUCUGCUAAGGAAAUAAAGUUCUGAAGUCAUUCUUGGGCUUAUUCACAAAACCGCCUGGUGGUCCUCACUCAUCUAGAGGUUUCUUGAAAUCAAACUACCUAUGGCCCUUAAUAAACAGAGUCUGGAUUCUGAUUCUGCAGGUCUGUGGUGAGGCCCAGGAGUUUGUGCUGUAACAAAUGCCCAGGUGGUUCCCAUGUAGGUGCUUGUUGGACCAAACCUAGAGAAAUAUUGACUUGUUCCGAGCCUUAGAACGUCUUCAUCUAUAAACACAGGUAAUACUAUGACAGCACUAUCCCUUUUGUGGGUUGAAUUGUAUCCCUCCAAAAGAUAUGAUCAAGAGGGGCGCCUGGGUGGCUCGGUCGGUUAAACGUCCGACUUCGGCUCAGGUCAUGAUCUCACAGUCUGUGAGUUCGAGCCCCACGUCGGGCUCUGUGCUAACUGCUCAGAGCCUGGAGCCUGUUUCAGAUUCUGUGUCUCCCUCUCUCUCUGCCCCUCCCCUGUUCACGCUCUGUCUCUCUCUGUCUCAAAAAUAAACGUUAAAAUUUAAAAAAAAAAAAAAAAAAAAAAAAGAUAUGAUCAAGUCCUAACUCCUGGUAUCAGUGAAUGUGACCUUGUUUGAAAACCGUCAUUGUAAGUGUAAUCAGGUUUAGGGAAGGUCACACCCAAUUAGGAUUGGCCCAAAUACAAUGGUUUGUGUCCUUAUAGAAGGUGUGAAACAACACGGAAGGUGGCCAUGUGAAGUUGGAAGCAGAGAUUGGAGUGACGUGCCUACAAGCCAAGGGGAGCCAAGAAUGGUUUGCAAGGGCCAGAUGCUAGGUGAGACAAGGAAGGAUCCUUUCUGGAAUCCUACAGAGGGAGCAUGGUCCUUCUGACACCUUGAUUUUAGGCUCUGUCUUCCACAGCUGUGAGAGAACACAUUUCUGUCGUUUUAAGCCACUCAGUGUGUCAUCUGUGUUAUGGCAGCCCUAAGCAAUGAACCAGGAACUCACGCAGUUGUCAAAAGAAUCAACUAUGCCAGGGCACCUGGGUGGCUCAGUCAGCUAAGCUUCUGACUUCAGCUCAGGUCAUGAUCUCACAGUUCAUGAGUUCAAGCCCUGCAUCUGACUGACUGCUGGGAGCCUGGAGCCUGCUUCAGAUUCUGCGUCUCCCUCUCUCUCUGCCCCUCCCCCACUUGCACUCUGUUUCCCUCUCAAAAAUAAAUAAACAUAAAAAAAAGAAUCAACUGUGUUGUUACAAUAGUAACUCAGAACAUUAUAGCAAAUAUUUUAGGGCAAGAUGGCAGAAAGCAUCUUUUUUUUUUUUUUAACAUUUAUUUAUUUUUGAGACAGAGAGAGAGAGCAUGAACAGGGGAGGGUCAGAGAAAGAGGGAGACACAGAAUCAGAAACAGGCUCCAGGCUCUGAGCUGUCAGCACAGAGCCCGACUCGGGGCUUGAACCCACAGACCGCGAGAUCAUGACCUGAGCCGAAGUCAGACACUUAACUGACUGAGCCACCCAGGCGCCCCAGAAAGCAUCUUUUUAAUUACUUGUCACAUCUUAGAGAAAACUUAGGAAUUUUGUAGUAUAUUAAAGGGAGGCUUGGGGAGAACGACAGCAGUUUUGGAAGAAUCUAGAAACAUAGGCACAUCUCAGUUCUGGUCUGCGGCCCUCCAUUCACUGGCUAUUUACAGCGGCCACGUCGGGCAGGCUUACACCUCUCAGUUUACCUGUGGGGAGGAAGAAAUGCCCCCCUUCCAGGGCUGUUGGAGAAACAAAUGCUUUAAAGAAUAUACAGGGGCGCCUGGGUGGCGCAGUUGGUUGAGCGUCCGACUUCAGCCAGGUCACGAUCUCGAGGUCCGUGAGUUCGAGCCCCGCGUCGGGCUCUGGGCUGAUGGCUCAGAGCCUGGAGCCUGUUUCCGAUUCUGUGUCUCCCUCUCUCUCUGCCCCUCCCCCGUUCAUGCUCUGUCUCUCUCUGUCCCAAAAAUAAAUAAAUGUUGAAAAAAAAUUAAAAAAAAUAAAGAAUAUACAAAGGCUUUUUAUAAACUUGAAGAUGCCAUGUAAAUGAAAGAGGUCAUUGAAUUAUAAUUAUUUUUAGUUUUCAAUGGGAUUAUAUUUGGAAGCUACCUGAAGGAGUCACGCUUGAAAUACUACUGAUCUGGACCUUGCAGAUCAUGUCUCCUUCAGGUGAGAAGACAUUUCAAGGCCAGAUUACAGAACCACAGGGGUUCUGUGGGUAACGGAAGAAGGGAGAAGAGAAGUGAUUUUUGGUGAAGGGGCCUUUGUGUCCUUGAGGGAAGGGGUUUUGGAGAUAGUAUGGUGUUCGUCUCCAGGGUCUGCCAUAGGAUCUUAGAGAGAGCACAGCCAGCGGCGUCUCCGUGAGAUGUUAGGGCUAGCAUGCCAGGGUGUGGCACCAAAGGGCAAGGAAUCUGCUCGCUCCAGCAGAGUGGCUUUGGCAUAGUGUUUUGGGCACAGCACAAUUUGGGGGGUGACUCACAGGGAGCAGCACCAGGGACAAUGGGAAUGUGCCCACGUGCCAGACCAUCAUGUGCCCAACCCAAAGGGUGCUGGAUCAGAACAGGAGACAAAGUGCAUGGCCAACCCUACACCAUGACUGAAAGGUUAGUCUAGGGACAGUGGUGAUCCUGAGACAUCUUUCUGGAAAAGACUGAGAUUUGGCGCAAAGUAUAAAGUAGGGGUGAGUGAGAGUGAGCUGGGUAGAAUCAUGGCUAGCUGAACAACCCUGUCUCUGCCGGCUUGUUACACCUGAACUGUACCUCCAAAAUCUACAUGUGGAAGCCCUGGCCCCCAUACCUCAGAAGAUGACUGCAUUUGGAUAUUGGGCCUUUAAAGAGGUAAAGGUAAAAUGAAGUCAUUAACCUGGGGUCCUAACCCUACCUGACCGGCAUUCUUACAAGUUUGGACACAUACAGAGACACCCGGGAUGUGCAUGCAGAGGAGAGAGACCGUGUGGGGACACAGCGAGAAGGCGGCCGUCUGCAAGCCAAGGACAGAAGCCUCAGAGAACAGCAAACUUGCUGACACCUCGAUGUCAGAUCUCCAGCCUCCAGAACCGUGAGGAAAUGUGUGUUGUUGAAGCCCGCCCCUGGUCCGUGGUAUUCUGUUAUGGAAGCCACAGCAAACCAAUACACCGCUUCAUCCUUAUUCUCUGUUAGGGCCUACAGGAGAUUUUCUUCUGAGAAAAAAACAAAAAAUGAUUCCAAACACCCUCCCUUUCCUUCCAUACCAUCUCGGAGACGCCGAGUGGAGCUGUUGGUGUCUUUGCUGCCUGGGACAGUCCACGGCAUGAACCUGGCGCUCCAGGCGACUGCAUAAAUGAGCCGGGCCCCAGCGACAGGUGCGGCCUGUGGUGAGCAGAGACAAGCAUUUCUGAUGUGGGAAUGCGUCGCCUGGUUCUACAGUUAACAGGAGCAGGAAGGAAUUUCAUGAACACUUUCGAAUACUUUUAGAAAGGCGUAUCUCUUAUCCCGUGGGGCACAUGCUGGAAGUGUCGUCUCCUAAUCUGCUGCUGGCAAGACGGAUUGCUCGUUGUCCACUCCCAGAACUAGCUCUGUUGGGGAGGGGGCUUUCUUGUCUGACUUCAAGGAAUUCGGAAGUCCCUUUUCCAGUCUGGUCACCAAUUGCUUUUCUUCUUAGAAUGUCAGAAAGGAAGACAGCUUUGAGACUGGAGACUGGAAAGACAACCCCAGAAAGCAGAAGUGAGGGAGUGGAGAAGACAGAUGGGCAAGUGAGGAAAGCCAGCGGAGGGUGCCUCCAUGGCUGCUUACUCCUGUGCACAACUGAGCCUCAAGCCCUCAGGGCCCCUCUGAAAACCCAUGUAAAAUCCAAGCAGAGGGCAGGUGAUUAGGCGUUUAUUCACCAAAUCCCUUUGGUUAGGGAUGCCACUGGCCACAUUAAUUUCCCUGUGGGACCAAGUUGCUCUGCACUUGGGCUCUUCGUGGUUUCAAAGAAAGUUCUGUGGUGAACAGGCAGGGGGUUAUGCACACUCAUGAUGUAGGUGCUGGUGACGUAUGUGGAACAGCCCAUCAGAGCUGUGAAGUCAGGUGGGCUGAGGACACGGAGCACAGUGCAGAAUAUUGCGGGCAGAGCAAACAGCCAGUGCAAAGGCCCUGGGGCAAGAGCAUCCCUGAGGCGUUCAAGGAACACAAGAAGGCCAGCGUGGCUGAGUGGAAUAAGCUAGGAAGAGAGUCAUAGGAGUUGCAGUCAGAGAGACAAUGGGGGCCAUUCUAUGGGAAGACUGCUUUUACCCUGAGAGACGCGGUAUAACAUAGUCUGAUUUGUGUUGUGCUGAUAAUGGACUUGGGUUGGGGGAAGUAGAGGCUGUUUCCAGAAUUCGGGUGAGAGAUGACAAUGGCUGCGUGUACCCGGGUGGAAGCAGGGGAGGCGGAGGGCAGAGAGGGGGGAAAUGGUAAACAUUCUCUGAUUCUCUCAACAACACAGCAAGGUGAUUUUAUUUUGAAUCUUCAGACUUUAAGGUUUUUUUGAGAGUUUGAAAUCCCCGCGAAUCCUAUAGGUUGAGGAGCUUGUACAAAUGUCCGCCCCCGAUAAGGGUGCACGACUGGGUCCUGAGCCUCCAUUCUUUCUGAGCCUUCCUGUGAUGAUCUCAGAAAAGCUGUUUACUCUGUGUCUCCUGCAAGAUCCGCCGCUGGCCUGGCUAUACUUCCUGACGAGGAAGGAUAGGGAGAGUAAAGAAAAGAACAAAAGGUCCAUAUGGUUUUUCUAACAGAGAGCCUCCUCUCCUCAUCACAUUCCAAGAUGCUGAACAAACUAGAUGCAAGACUGCAGAAACUAUAGAACAGCAAAUUAUUGGGUUGGGAAGCAAUAAUUAGAAAGGAAAUGAAGAAAAUGGACGUUGGGGGCCUUAAUGUGAAAUAUGACAUUGAUAAAUCAAAGGAAGCCUUGAAUUAGAGAUGUGGAUAUUUCAACUGAUUAUCCGAGAUAACUCAUAUCCUCCACUAACCUCGUCCAUCUUGUUUUGCCUUUGUGAGGACAAAGACAGUCUUUGCAAAUUGCCAGGCCACAGGAUUGUAUCUUCCAAAUGUUUAUUCAAAGAGGGUGGGGAGGAAGGGGAUGAAGCACUUGAAAAAUAAUUUGCUUGUUAAGCAGCCCAGAAGAAUGUUCUCCUUUCCACCGAGUCUGGUAUAUUUACGGGAAAGAUAAUAAGAGAAGCUUGGGAUGGCUUUGACAGUAAGGCAAAAGUAAACAAUCCGCCCAGGCCAGGAAAAGUUAGAUUCGCAUACCUUUGCUUUUGAUGCUCGUCCUAAUAGUUGAGGGUAAACAAAGUGCCACAUGACUGUGGAGAAGAGUAAGAAUUACUCAGCUGCCUUCUCUCUCCUGAUGAUUCCAAAGCAAAUGGUGUUUAUUUGAGGGACUUUAUUUUUAUGUCUUUUUUUUUUUUUUUCCUGAGAAAGAUCCCACUAGGGACAAAGGCAUCUUGGGACAUUAGCAUGACCACGUGUCUCCAGAUUGGUUUGAUUCAUGUGAUAGUGUGAUGAGAGUCUGAAGGAGACCACAGAAGUAGGGAUGGAAAAGACCCUAUUGGAUUAUUCCCUUUCGCCCGCUCCACCCUUCCUGGCAGGAGAGAGUCCCUCGAUAGAAGAAGACCCAGCCGGCCUUAGCCAAAUAUCCCAGUCUUCUGGAAACUCUGACAACAUGACAAGAAUUUGAACUGGAGCCACGAGACACCUCAAAAACCCCGUGGGCAGAGGAAGAGGGCGGGAUUCGUUUUGCAUGAGGGUGUUACUUGGGUGUUUGAUAAGUGUUUUUGGUGCUUGUUUUACGGCAGGUGACCUUGCGCUUGAUCCAGGAGAAUCCUUUCUGGCCUUUUUUGAGACCUGUAACUGCUCCCCUGUUGUACUAUAAGCUGUUGCUGUCACAAAUAGAGCUACCCAGGGGUGUCUGGGUGGCUCAGUCGGUUAAGCGUCCGACUUCAGCUCAGGUCACGAUUUCACAGUCCGUGAGUUCAAGCCCCGCGUCGGGCUCUGGGUUGAUGGCUCAGAGCCUGGAGCCUGCUUCCAAUUCUGUGUCUCCCUCUCUCUCUGCCCCUCCCCCGUUCAUGCUCUGUCUCUCUCUGUCUCAAAAAUAAAUAAACGUUAAAAAAAAACAAAAACAAAAACAAAUAGAGCUACCCAAUGCCAGCCCUUGAAGGAGCUCGUCUGGUUUUCCCUAUGAGGUGGCAACCAUUCAGGAGUCUUCGUUUUCUGCUGGGCUCUGGGAACCAGGGUCUGGUUUUGCCUAGCGCCCGAAUGCCUGAGGCUUCUAGAACUACCUGUAUUGUGCCACCAGGGCUACCUGGUGGGUGUUGAGACUCUUGCUCACUCCUCCGCAAAUAAGCUCUCACCUAGCCUCGGCCAGCCUCGCCACUCUUACCUGCACUUUCAUUCUUUAAAAAAAACUGUUCGCGUGGUACCACCCUCCUAAAUUGCCCCUCACUUUCUUCUUUGUUACCCCAAAUCCCAAAGAAACGGGUCUUUCUUGAGGAACCCUUUUACAAAUGUUUAAUAAACGUUGAAAAUUAUGUAGCCCAUCAUACUUCCCACCCUGACCUUCACUGCCUAAAAGUUCCGGGCUAGACUGAAUGCUUCUUCUUAAUUACCCCAGUAGGCUUGGGUCGAUAUGUUCGCUUCCUCUUUCUAUGUUUUCCCUUAUUUCCCAUUUUAAGAUUUAAAUAUGUACAUCAUUUAUGAUAAGCUUUCUUACGUUUUUUGGUCAGAAGCAGCAGAGACAUAAAGCAAAAACGAUCACGUGAUGUAAUUUACUUUCCUCCAGAUCACCUACGGGAACCAACUCCACCAGACCAGGAGCAGGGGUGAUGUCCUGCCCUGGGCAGCCUUGGCCAUCUGUCAGCACAAGUGUGUCCACAGCAGGAGGAACGGUACACCAAGAAGAUGCAUGGCUGCUGUCCAAGGACAACAGGCAUCUUCCAACCAGGCCACUUGGUCAAUCUGCUAAUCCCACAGUUCUCAGAGUUGGUCCCCCAAACAGGAACAUCAGCAUCAACCGAGUCCUUACUACAAAUGCAACUCCUCGGGUCCCCCCAAGUAUGUUCUGAGCCAAAAUGUCUGGGGAAGGGCUCAGCAAUCCGUGUUUUACCGAGUCCUCUAGUUGGUUCUGAGAACCCCCUGCCAACACCACACGCCAGUGGAGACCAUUUGAGACAAUUCCCUUUUGAUUCUUUCUGCUCAGCUUGCAUUUUGAUGUACAGGCCACAGGUUUUAUGUCUCCCCGCACUUCCUUGCUCGGUCUGGAGUCUCAUUUGCUCGUUUUCGUUCACGGAGGGGCCACUUCCCUGCAUCCCUUCUGCUUGGCCCAUGUGAUUGGACACUGACCUUAAGUAUCUUCUUGGAUCCAGAAACUCGCCUUUGUCCUUCAGCUGACACAUUAGUAGGAUGUCAAGUGAAUUCUUCAUUUCUGUGCACACACUUGUCAUUAGUUCAUUUGCUGGUGGCCCUGCUGAUUCACACUAUUAUUACUCACUGCUCCUGUCAUUUUGAACUUUAACAGAGAGGUACAAACAAGCAGGGAACUUCCACAUAAGUGUCUAUGAAACAAUGAACAGAAAAAUUC